AUGUGCUUGCACAUCGCUGACGAGUGGCGGACGGGUGAGUAAUGCUUGGGAACUUGCCUUUGCGAGGGGGAUAACAGUUGGAAACGACUGCUAAUACCGCAUAAUGUCUACGGACCAAACGGGGCUUCGGCUCCGGCGCAAAGAGAGGCCCAAGUGAGAUUAGCUAGUUGGUAAGGUAACGGCUUACCAAGGCGACGAUCUCUAGCUGUUCUGAGAGGAAGAUCAGCCACACUGGGACUGAGACACGGCCCAGACUCCUACGGGAGGCAGCAGUGAGGAAUAUUGCACAAUGGGGGAAACCCUGAUGCAGCCAUGCCGCGUGUGUGAAGAAGGCCUUCGGGUUGUAAAGCACUUUCAGUUGUGAGGAAAAGUUAGUAGUUAAUACCUGCUAGCCGUGACGUUAACAACAGAAGAAGCACCGGCUAACUCCGUGCCAGCAGCCGCGGUAAUACGGAGGGUGCGAGCGUUAAUCGGAAUUACUGGGCGUAAAGCGCACGCAGGCGGUUUGUUAAGCUAGAUGUGAAAGCCCCGGGCUCAACCUGGGAUGGUCAUUUAGAACUGGCAGACUAGAGUCUUGGAGAGGGGAGUGGAAUUCCAGGUGUAGCGGUGAAAUGCGUAGAUAUCUGGAGGAACAUCAGUG
Molecule: ribosomal RNA, 640 nt
Filed under: uncultured Gammaproteobacteria bacterium
Lineage: Bacteria; Pseudomonadati; Pseudomonadota; Gammaproteobacteria
Description: bacterial SSU rRNA
Rfam family: Bacterial small subunit ribosomal RNA
Source: RNAcentral